This 65-nucleotide transfer RNA is filed under the name Sarcandra glabra. RNAcentral's name for it is "tRNA-His". It matches the Rfam family "tRNA", at positions 1 to 61 of the family's 71-position model. From Rfam's summary of the family: Transfer RNA (tRNA) molecules are approximately 80 nucleotides in length. Lineage: Eukaryota; Viridiplantae; Streptophyta; Magnoliopsida; Chloranthales; Chloranthaceae. The record is from RNAcentral. RNAcentral also lists the same sequence under 3 other names.
GGCGGAUGUAGCCAAGUGGAUCAAGGCAGUGGAUUGUGAAUCCACCAUGCGCGGGUUCAAUUCCC